Molecule: ribosomal RNA, 550 nt
Filed under: Legionella pneumophila
Lineage: Bacteria; Pseudomonadati; Pseudomonadota; Gammaproteobacteria; Legionellales; Legionellaceae
Description: partial 23S ribosomal RNA
Rfam family: Bacterial large subunit ribosomal RNA
Source: RNAcentral
UUAUAUGGUCAAGAAGAGAAGCGCAAACGGUGGAUGCCUUGGCAGUAAGAGGCGAAGAAGGACGUGGAAUCCUGCGAAAAGCUAUGGGGAGCUGGAAACGAGCGAUGAGCCAUAGAUGUCCGAAUGGGGGAACCCGGCUGCAGCGAUGCGGUCAUUUGCAUUUGAAUACAUAGGAUGCAAAGGCGAACUCGGGGAACUGAAACAUCUAAGUACCCGAAGGAAAAGAAAUCAAGAGAGAUUCUCCAAGUAGCGGCGAGCGAACGGGGAGGAGCCUGGCGUGAUUUAUUAUUGAACUGAGUAGAACAAUUUGGGAAAGUUGGCGAUAGAGGGUGAAAGCCCCGUAUACGAAGGUUUGAUGAGGAACUAGGCACGCGAGCAAGUAGGCCGGGACACGUGAAAUCCUGGUUGAAGAUGGGUGGACCAUCAUCCAAGGCUAAAUACUACUUACUGACCGAUAGUGAACCAGUACCGUGAGGGAAAGGUGAAAAGAACCCCGGAGAGGGGAGUGAAAUAGAAUCUGAAACCGUUUGCGUACAAGCAGUGGGAGCAU